Small nucleolar RNA from Ipomoea triloba (trilobed morning glory), 92 nucleotides. RefSeq annotates it as small nucleolar RNA snoR128. The transcript has a single exon. Lineage: Eukaryota; Viridiplantae; Streptophyta; Magnoliopsida; Solanales; Convolvulaceae. The record is from RefSeq and is a predicted model, not a curated record.
UUGCCAUGAUGAGGAUGUUAACAUGUGGAAAGUCUACAAAGACUUGAUGAUACAUCAGCAAUCAUGUUGAUCCUGAGCGGUUACCUGAGCAA